This 253-nucleotide ribosomal RNA is filed under the name uncultured bacterium. RNAcentral describes it as "partial 16S ribosomal RNA". It matches the Rfam family "Bacterial small subunit ribosomal RNA", at positions 524 to 776 of the family's 1533-position model. The record is from RNAcentral.
UACGUAGGGUGCGAGCGUUGUCCGGAAUUAUUGGGCGUAAAGAGCUCGUAGGCGGCUUGUCACGUCGGGUGUGAAAGCCCGGGGCUUAACCCCGGGUCUGCAUUCGAUACGGGCAGGCUAGAGUGUGGUAGGGGAGAUCGGAAUUCCUGGUGUAGCGGUGAAAUGCGCAGAUAUCAGGAGGAACACCGAUGGCGAAGGCAGGUCUCUGGGCCGAUACUGACGCUGAGGAGCGAAAGCGUGGGGAGCGAACAGG